CGGGGCGUGGCUCAGUUUGGUAGAGCGCUUGAAUGGGGUUCAAGAGGUCACAGGUUCAAGUCCUGUCGCCCCGA
RNAcentral lists this transfer RNA (74 nucleotides) under Candidatus Omnitrophica bacterium CG11_big_fil_rev_8_21_14_0_20_41_12. RNAcentral's name for it is "tRNA-Pro". It matches the Rfam family "tRNA". From Rfam's summary of the family: Transfer RNA (tRNA) molecules are approximately 80 nucleotides in length. Their secondary structure includes four short double-helical elements and three loops (D, anti-codon, and T loops). Lineage: Bacteria; Pseudomonadati; Candidatus Omnitrophota. The record is from RNAcentral. RNAcentral also lists the same sequence under 1 other name.